RNAcentral lists this transfer RNA (73 nucleotides) under Clonorchis sinensis. It matches the Rfam family "tRNA". Rfam says of the family: Transfer RNA (tRNA) molecules are approximately 80 nucleotides in length. Their secondary structure includes four short double-helical elements and three loops (D, anti-codon, and T loops). Lineage: Eukaryota; Metazoa; Platyhelminthes; Trematoda; Opisthorchiida; Opisthorchiidae. The record is from Rfam by way of RNAcentral.
GCGGAGGUAGCUCAGCGGUUAGAGCGCGAGCGUACUGACCGCAAAGGUCCGUGGUUCGAACCCUGCCUCUGCC